RNAcentral lists this unclassified non-coding RNA (253 nucleotides) under uncultured Alphaproteobacteria bacterium. RNAcentral describes it as "contains 16S-23S intergenic spacer region". It matches the Rfam family "Bacterial small subunit ribosomal RNA", at positions 524 to 776 of the family's 1533-position model. Lineage: Bacteria; Pseudomonadati; Pseudomonadota; Alphaproteobacteria. The record is from RNAcentral.
UACGAAGGGGGCUAGCGUUGUUCGGAAUUACUGGGCGUAAAGCGCGCGCAGGCGGUUUGCCAAGUCAGAGGUGAAAGCCCCGAGCUCAACUCGGGAACUGCCUUUGAAACUGGUAGACUAGGGUUCGGGAGAGGUGAGUGGAAUUCCGAGUGUAGAGGUGAAAUUCGUAGAUAUUCGGAAGAACACCAGUGGCGAAGGCGGCUCACUGGCCCGAUACCGACGCUCAGGCGCGAUAGCGUGGGGAGCAAACAGG